This 465-nucleotide ribosomal RNA is filed under the name uncultured bacterium. RNAcentral describes it as "partial 16S ribosomal RNA". It matches the Rfam family "Bacterial small subunit ribosomal RNA", at positions 28 to 507 of the family's 1533-position model. The record is from RNAcentral.
GACGAACGCUGGCGGCGUGCUUAACACAUGCAAGUCGAACGGAAAGGCCCCUUUGGGGGUCCUCGACUGGCGAACGGGGGAGUAACACGUGAGUAACCUGCCCUUUACUCCGUGACAACUUCAGGAAACUGGGGCUAAUACCGGUAAGAAAUCCUUGCAGCUUGGGGGGGGUUGGAAAGCUUUUGCGGCCUUGGAUGGACUCGCGGCUUAUUGGCUUGUUGGUUGGGUAGUGGGUUACCAAGGCACUGACGGGUAGACGGCCUGUGGGGGCGAGCGGCCACAUUGGCACUGAGAGGCGGCCGAGGUGCCGACGGGAGGACGCAGUGGGGAAGCUUGAACAAGGGGCGGAGGCCUGAUGCAGAAAGGCCGCGUGCGGGAUGGCGGCCUUGGGGUUGUAAACCGCCUUCAGCAGGGGCGAAGCUUGUGGUGACGGUACCUGAAGAAGAAGCACCGGCUAACUACGUG